This 486-nucleotide ribosomal RNA is filed under the name uncultured bacterium. RNAcentral describes it as "partial 16S ribosomal RNA". It matches the Rfam family "Bacterial small subunit ribosomal RNA", at positions 28 to 507 of the family's 1533-position model. The record is from RNAcentral.
GAUGAACGCUAGCGGCAGGCUUAACACAUGCAAGUCGAGGGGCAGCGCGGGAUAGCAAUAUCCUGGCGGCGACCGGCGGAAGGGUGCGUAACGCGUGAGCGACAUGCCCGUUGCCCGGGGACAACCGGUGGAAACGCCGACUAAUCCCCGAUGGGAUAUUGUGCCGCAUGGCACGAUAUUGAAAGUUACGGCGGCGACGGAUUGGCUCGCGUCCGAUUAGCUUGUUGGCGGGGUAACGGCCCACCAAGGCUGCGAUCGGUAGGGGUUCUGAGAGGAAGGCCCCCCACAAUGGGACUGAGACACGGCCCAUACUCCUACGGGAGGCAGCAGUGAGGAAUAUUGGUCAAGGGGCGGAAGCCUGAACCAGCCAUGCCGCGUGCGGGAAGGAGGCCCUAUGGGCUGUGAACCGCUUUUGCCUGGGGGCAAUAAGGGCGUCGCGCACGUCCGAUGAGAGUGCCAGGCGAAUAAGCAUCGGCUAACUCCGUG